GCGCACCAGUCGAGAAAGCACGAUGAGGGAAUCCCAAGUGCUUGCUCGUAAGAGUAAGCUGUUUCUCUGUCUAAAACGCAGAGAGAGUAAGGGCUGGGUAAGACGGGUGCCAGCCGCCGCGGUAAUACCUGCAGCUCGGAGUGGUGGCCGCUAUUAUUGGGCCUAAAACGUCCGUAGCCGGUUUAUUAAAUGGCCUGGGUAAAUCGGACCGCUUAACGGUUCGAAUUCCGGGUAGACUGAUAAACUUGAGACCGGGAGAAGCUAGAGGUACUCCUGGGGUAGAGGUGAAAUUCUGUAAUCCUAGGGGACCACCAGUGGCGAAGGCGUCUAGCUAGAACGGGUCUGACGGUGAGGGACGAAGCCCUGGGGCGCAAACGGGAUUAGAUACCCCCGUAGU
Molecule: ribosomal RNA, 397 nt
Filed under: uncultured microorganism
Description: bacterial SSU rRNA
Rfam family: Archaeal small subunit ribosomal RNA
Source: RNAcentral